UACAGAGGGUGCGAGCGUUAAUCGGAAUUACUGGGCGUAAAGGGUGCGUAGGCGGUUUGUCGCGUCUGCCGUGAAAGUCCGGGGCUCAACUCCGGAUCUGCGGUGGGUACGGGCAGACUAGAGUGAUGUAGGGGAGACUGGAAUUCCUGGUGUAGCGGUGAAAUGCGCAGAUAUCAGGAGGAACACCGGUGGCGAAGGCGGUUCUCUGGGCAUGUCCUGACGCUGAGGAGCGAAAGUGUGGGGAGCGAACAGG
RNAcentral lists this ribosomal RNA (253 nucleotides) under uncultured bacterium. RNAcentral describes it as "partial 16S ribosomal RNA". It matches the Rfam family "Bacterial small subunit ribosomal RNA", at positions 524 to 776 of the family's 1533-position model. The record is from RNAcentral.